RNAcentral lists this unclassified non-coding RNA (289 nucleotides) under uncultured Helotiales. RNAcentral's name for it is "sequence contains ITS1". The stretch from base 1 to 105 matches the Rfam family "5.8S ribosomal RNA", at positions 50 to 154 of the family's 154-position model. Lineage: Eukaryota; Fungi; Ascomycota; Leotiomycetes; Helotiales. The record is from RNAcentral.
GAAAUGCGAUAAGUAAUGUGAAUUGCAGAAUUCAGUGAAUCAUCGAAUCUUUGAACGCACAUUGCGCCCCUUGGUAUUCCGAGGGGCAUGCCUGUUCGAGCGUCAGUUGACCGAUCAAGCUUGGCUUGGUAUUGGGGCUCGCCUUCCAGCGGCCUCUAAACUCAGUGGCGGUGCCGUUAGGCUCUAAGCGUAGUAAUAAUCCUCGCUAUAGUGUCUCGCGGUUGCUUGCCAUAACCCAAAUUUUAUACUGGUUGACCUCGGAUCAGGUAGGGAUACCCGCUGAACUUAA